GUUUUAUUCAGUACAGAAUUAAGGAUAUGUUAACUAAAUUAGUUAGUUAAAUUUAAACCAGUGUAGCUGGAAAUAUUAUUGCAUUGGUGAAAUUUUACUGCUCUGCUCUUUUAGUCUAAUUUCUGUAAAAUUGGUUAUGAAUUUACCAAAAGUUGCUGUGAAGAAAAUAAAACCUAUUUAACUAAACACAUGAUAAAUGUUAUGAGAGCACAUAAAUUCUGAUAGAUCAGCCUAGUAAAUCUUCCUCCCUCUAUUUUUUUUUGUUUAUGUUGUAUUUAAUCUUAUCAUGCCUGAUGUAUAACAUAUGUUAUACCAAAUUUAAAAUUCUGGUGUCUUG
Non-coding RNA from Pelobates cultripes (western spadefoot toad), 337 nucleotides. The record is from the annotation of a GenBank genome assembly. NCBI's taxonomy places the organism in Eukaryota, Metazoa, Chordata, Amphibia, Anura, Pelobatidae.